RNAcentral lists this long non-coding RNA (280 nucleotides) under Elaeis guineensis (African oil palm). Its description in RNAcentral is "long non-coding RNA (EGUI_LNC056558)". The record is from RNAcentral. Lineage: Eukaryota; Viridiplantae; Streptophyta; Magnoliopsida; Arecales; Arecaceae.
GUUAUAGGAGAUUGAGGAGAUUUCGAUGGGUUCUCUUAUAACAUGUAAAGGUGUCAUUGUGAUUCAAUUUCAUGAAGAAGAAAAAUGAACAGAUUCUUAUAAAUUAUUUUGAUCAUAAAUAUAUUUAGAUUAGAUCUAAAGUAAUUUAUGAUUUAUUACAACAAGAUAAAAUUCAGAUAUAAAAUUAUUUUAGAUCUGAAUAGCAUGUUAUAUAAGAUGUAAUCGGUAUUGAUCUAAAAGUUAUCAUGAUGCAUGAGAUGUAUGUAUGAAAUUCAGAUCA